RNAcentral lists this ribosomal RNA (497 nucleotides) under Candidatus Dojkabacteria bacterium. RNAcentral describes it as "bacterial SSU rRNA". It matches the Rfam family "Bacterial small subunit ribosomal RNA", at positions 1026 to 1533 of the family's 1533-position model. The record is from RNAcentral.
GGUGAUACACAGGUGCUGCAUGGCCGUCGUCAGCUCGUGUCGUGAGAUGUAGGGUUAAGUCCCGAAACGAGCGCAACCCCUAUCCCAUGUUACAAGUGUCUUGGGAAACCGCCUCGGUAAAACGAGGAGGAAGGUGGGGAUGACGUCUGGUCCGCAUAGCCCUUAUGUCCUGGGCUACACACACGCUACAAUGGCCAAUACAGUAGGAAGCCAAAUCGUAAGAUGGAGCUGAUCCUCAAAGUUGGUCUCAGUUCGGAUUGAGGUCUGAAACUCGACCUCAUGAAGUUGGAUUCGCUAGUAAUCGUGAAUCAGCCAUGUCACGGUGAAUACGUUCUCGGGUCUUGCACACACCGCCCGUCAAGCCAUGGGAGUAGGUGAUACCCGAAGGUGUUCUGUCUCUUGUAGAUGGAAUGACGAAGGUAACGCUUAUGACUGGGGUUAAGUCGUAACAAGGUAGCCGUAGGGGAAUCUGCGGCUGAAUUACCUCCUUUCUAAGG